AAUCAACGCUGGCGGCGUGCCUAACACAUGCAAGUCGCACGAGAAAGCGGACUUCGGUCUGUGAGUACAGUGGCGCACGGGUGAGUAACACGUGACUAACCUACCUCCGAGUGGGGAAUAACCUAGGGAAACCUGGGCUAAUACCGCAUAACACUCAAGAGUCAAAGCAGCAAUGCGCUUGGAGAGGGGGUCGCGGCAGAUUAGCUAGUUGGCGGGGUAAUGGCCCACCAAGGCAAUGAUCUGUAUCCGGCCUGAGAGGGCGCACGGACACACUGGAACUGAAACACGGUCCAGACUCCUACGGGAGGCAGCAGUGGGGAAUUUUGCGCAAUGGGGGAAACCCUGACGCAGCAACGCCGCGUGGAGGAUGAAGUCUCUUGGGACGUAAACUCCUUUCGAUUGGGAAGAUAAUGACGGUACCAAUAGAAGAAGCCCCGGCUAACUUCGUGCCAGCAGCCGCGGUAAGGCACGACUGU
RNAcentral lists this ribosomal RNA (476 nucleotides) under uncultured bacterium. RNAcentral describes it as "bacterial SSU rRNA". It matches the Rfam family "Bacterial small subunit ribosomal RNA", at positions 32 to 532 of the family's 1533-position model. The record is from RNAcentral.